RNAcentral lists this ribosomal RNA (484 nucleotides) under uncultured bacterium. RNAcentral describes it as "partial 16S ribosomal RNA". It matches the Rfam family "Bacterial small subunit ribosomal RNA", at positions 30 to 507 of the family's 1533-position model. The record is from RNAcentral.
AUUGAACGCUGGCGGCAGGCCUAACACAUGCAAGUCGAGCGGAUGAAGGGAGCUUGCUCCUGGAUUCAGCGGCGGACGGGUGAGUAAUGCCUAGGAAUCUGCCUGGUAGUGGGGGAUAACGUCCGGAAACGGGCGCUAAUACCGCAUACGUCCUGAGGGAGAAAGUGGGGGAUCUUCGGACCUCACGCUAUCAGAUGAGCCUAGGUCGGAUUAGCUAGUUGGUGGGGUAAAGGCCUACCAAGGCGACGAUCCGUAACUGGUCUGAGAGGAUGAUCAGUCACACUGGAACUGAGACACGGUCCAGACUCCUACGGGAGGCAGAAGUGGGGAAUAUUGGACAAUGGGCGAAAGCCUGAUCCAGACAUGCCGCGUGUGUGAAGAAGGUCUUCGGAUUGUAAAGAACUUUAAGUUGGGAGGAAGGGCAGUAAGUUAAUACCUUGCUGUUUUGACGGUACCAACAGAAUAAGCACCGGCUAACUUCGUG